RNAcentral lists this transfer RNA (72 nucleotides) under Camelus bactrianus (Bactrian camel). It matches the Rfam family "tRNA". Rfam says of the family: Transfer RNA (tRNA) molecules are approximately 80 nucleotides in length. Their secondary structure includes four short double-helical elements and three loops (D, anti-codon, and T loops). The record is from Rfam by way of RNAcentral. Lineage: Eukaryota; Metazoa; Chordata; Mammalia; Artiodactyla; Camelidae. RNAcentral also lists the same sequence under 3 other names.
AGUGGUAUAGCUCAGUGGUAGAGCCCGUGCCUAACAUGCAUGAGGUCCUGGGUUCAGUCCCCAGUACCGCCA